CACGAAGAUUGGACCGAACUUGUCGUA
Molecule: small RNA, 27 nt
Filed under: Bombyx mori (domestic silkworm)
Lineage: Eukaryota; Metazoa; Arthropoda; Insecta; Lepidoptera; Bombycidae
Description: ovarian small RNA-13014
Source: RNAcentral